This 492-nucleotide ribosomal RNA is filed under the name uncultured bacterium. RNAcentral's name for it is "partial 16S ribosomal RNA". It matches the Rfam family "Bacterial small subunit ribosomal RNA", at positions 29 to 516 of the family's 1533-position model. The record is from RNAcentral.
AUUGAACGCUGGCGGCAUGCCUUACACAUGCAAGUCGAACGGCAGCGCGGGAGCAAUCCUGGCGGCGAGUGGCGAACGGGUGAGUAAUAUAUCGGAACGUGCCCAGUAGUGGGGGAUAGCCCGGCGAAAGCCGGAUUAAUACCGCAUGAGACCUGAGGGUGAAAGCGGGGGAUCGCAAGACCUCGCGCUAUUGGAUGAGCCGAAGUCGGAUUAGCUAGUUGGUAGGGUAACGGCCUACCAAGGCGACGAUCCGUAGCUGGUCUGAGAGGACGACCAGCCACACUGGGACUGAGACACGGCCCAGACUCCUACGGGAGGCAGCAGUGGGGAAUAUUGGACAAUGGGGGCAACCCUGAUCCAGCGACGCCGCGUGUGUGAAGAAGGCCUGCGGGUUGUAAAGCACUUUUAGUGGGGAGGAAAUGCUCAGACCUAACACGUCUGGGAGCUGACUUAACCCAAGAAAAAGCACCGGCUAACUCUGUGCCAGCAGCC